RNAcentral lists this ribosomal RNA (252 nucleotides) under uncultured bacterium. RNAcentral's name for it is "partial 16S ribosomal RNA". It matches the Rfam family "Bacterial small subunit ribosomal RNA", at positions 524 to 776 of the family's 1533-position model. The record is from RNAcentral.
UACGUAGGGUGCAAGCGUUAAUCGGAAUUACUGGGCGUAAAGCGUGCGCAGGCGGCUUUGCAAGACAGAUGUGAAAUCCCCGGGCUUAACCUGGGAACUGCAUUUGUGACUGCAUGGCUGGAGUGCGGCAGAGGGGAUGGAAUUCCGGCGUGUAGCAGUGAAAUGCGUAGAUAUGCGGAGGAACACCGAUGGCGAAGGCAAUCCCUGGGCCUGCACUGACGCUCAUGCACGAAAGCGUGGGGAGCAAACGGG